GGGUGCGAUCAUACCAGCACUAAUACACCAGAUCCCAUCAGAACUCCACAGUUAAGCAUACUUGGGUGAGAGUAGUACUAAGUUGGAUGACCACUUGAAAAAUCCUCGUGUUGCACCUC
Molecule: ribosomal RNA, 119 nt
Filed under: Cucumis sativus (cucumber)
Lineage: Eukaryota; Viridiplantae; Streptophyta; Magnoliopsida; Cucurbitales; Cucurbitaceae
Source: RNAcentral